UAGGGAAUCUUCCACAAUGGGCGAAGCCUGAUGGAGCAACGCCGCGUGAGUGAAGAAGGUUUUCGGAUCGUAAAGCUCUGUUGUUGGUGAAGAAGAAUAGAGGUAGUAACUGACCUUUAUUUGACGGUAAUCAACCAGAAAGUCACGGCUAACUACGUGCCA
Molecule: ribosomal RNA, 162 nt
Filed under: uncultured bacterium
Lineage: Bacteria
Description: partial 16S rRNA
Rfam family: Bacterial small subunit ribosomal RNA
Source: RNAcentral